UACAGAGGGUGCGAGCGUUAAUCGGAAUUACUGGGCGUAAAGCGCGCGUAGGCGGCUUUGCAAGUUGGGUGUGAAAUCCCCAGGCUUAACCUGGGAACUGCAUUCGAGACUGCAUUGCUAGAGUAUGGGAGAGGGAAGUGGAAUUUCCGGUGUAGCGGUGAAAUGCGUAGAUAUCGGAAGGAACAUCAGUGGCGAAAGCGACUUCCUGGACCAAUACUGACGCUCAUGUGCGAAAGCGUGGGGAGCAAACAGG
This 253-nucleotide ribosomal RNA is filed under the name uncultured bacterium. RNAcentral's name for it is "partial 16S ribosomal RNA". It matches the Rfam family "Bacterial small subunit ribosomal RNA", at positions 524 to 776 of the family's 1533-position model. The record is from RNAcentral.